This 381-nucleotide ribosomal RNA is filed under the name uncultured bacterium. RNAcentral describes it as "bacterial SSU rRNA". It matches the Rfam family "Bacterial small subunit ribosomal RNA", at positions 54 to 458 of the family's 1533-position model. The record is from RNAcentral.
CAUGCAGUCGAGCGGUACAGAUCUAUCUUGCUAGAUGCUGACGAGCGGCGGACGGGUGAGUAACGCGUAGAAAACUGCCCAGUAGUGGGGGAUAGCCCGGUGAAAACCGGAUUAAUACCGCAUACGCUCUACGGAGGAAAGGGGGCUUCGGCUCUCGCUAUUGGAUGUGUCUGCGUGGGAUUAGCUAGUUGGUGAGGUAAGGGCUCACCAAGGCGACGAUCUCUAGCUGGUCUGAGAGGAUGAUCCCCACACUGGAUUGAGUACGGUUAGACUCCUACGGGAGGCGCAUGGGGAAAUUGACAUGGCGCAAGCCUGAUGCACCAUGCCGCGUGUGUGAGAAGGUACGGGCGAAACAUUUCGUAGGAGGAAAAUUUAGUUAAU